Molecule: long non-coding RNA, 318 nt
Filed under: Phasianus colchicus (ring-necked pheasant)
Lineage: Eukaryota; Metazoa; Chordata; Aves; Galliformes; Phasianidae
Description: lncRNA (ENSPCLG00000004502.1)
Source: RNAcentral
AUGCAAAUGGCCCCUUGCAGCUGUCUCUCACCAGGCAAAGAAGGCAGCACCACCACUGUUGCACAAUGUUCUCCUAAUUCCCCUCUGGUGAAGUGGCACCCCAUGAUAAACAUCUUUGGGAGCAAGCACGCAGGCAGAAAAUGGCUAAUUGGUCUGAGAUCAACUCACACCCAGAGGUGCUGGAUACCAUCAAGAGUGAACAAGGUGAUUAAGAAGAGCAAAACCAAAAAAAAUAGUCUGGUCCCUCAGGGUCUCCAGUCCCACCUGCCUUCUGCACCUCUCCUCCACCUUCUGCACCAGCUCAGAACUGAAAGGUGA